GAUUCGAAUCUGAGAGAAAUUUCAAUAAUCAAUAAAAAUAUCUUUAUGAAUUAUUAUCCUGCAGAGUGUUGAUUUUCAAUUGAACGUCAAAUAAAUAUUUUCAUCAUUCAAGAAAAACAAAAUGAAAAGUGAAAUUACUGAAUUAAACAAACACGUUCAAAAUAUAAUAUUAAAGUACAAGACGAGUUGAACUUCUUAAUAUAUGUUUGUUUUUUAGAAUUAAGUUUACAAAGUAUAUUAAAUUGUUU
This 248-nucleotide long non-coding RNA is filed under the name Physcomitrium patens. Its description in RNAcentral is "long non-coding RNA (PPAT_LNC003203)". Lineage: Eukaryota; Viridiplantae; Streptophyta; Bryopsida; Funariales; Funariaceae. The record is from RNAcentral.